UCAACAGAUAAACUAAGCACAUUUGUUAGUCAUAAUUAAUUAUUUAUUUAUAAUACAUUUUGUGUUGUAAAAUCUUUCCCUUUUUGAAUAUUAGUAUUAUUUUAUUAACAAAUAGACGCGAGUAAUCUUUUCGAUGCAUUCGUACACGCUAUGUAACAACAAUAUAUUUAUUCCACGAACAUUUGACUCUUCUUAUAAGCGAAUAGCGUAUACAUACGUAGAGGGAAACGAUGACCCAUCGAGUUGACUCCAAUCAGUGAAAAAACUUAAGACACACGAGACACUUAUGGGAGUUGAAUCAUUAACGACUCACCGGGAGGAUACGUGUUGGCAAAACCAAAGUGUUGACUUGGAAAAUUUUCGAAGAUCGUAGCAAUAUAUAAAAUGGAUAUUGCCAGUCAUCUUGUUAUAAAAAGGAUUUUGAGAAAAAUAAAGGAGAAAUAAUUGAAACAAAUAUAUAAAAAGGAAGUAAAGAAGUAGUGGGGAUCUAGCAAACCUAUAGAAACAAAAUUCUCUCUUUUGCUUGAUAUCAGAGAUAACGUUACGAGAAAAUAAUUAAUCUGCAUAGCAAACAAACGACGCGUUUCGCAUAUAUUCUUUUCUCUCUCACUCUUUUAUAUUUUUUCUCAUAUUAUUUGUCAUAGUCAUCGGUAGAAGUAGCAGCAACAGCAGCAUCAGCAGCAGCAGCACCAACAGGUACCCAAGUAAAACGAUACGGAUUUGCAAAAGGAAAAUAUAAGAAGAAUUAAAGUGAACAAGUUAAAAGACGGAGGAGACUUCCAUAAUAUAUAGAACAGAGUCGUAUUUUGCUCAUCAACACUGAGUGAUUCCAAUUGACGAUCGUCUCGACCCUCGGGCUCUCGUCUUAUUGGUCAGCCUUUUAAUACGUUACGUUACCAUUGGAGAUCUGUUCUUUUCGAAAGAACAUACGAACGAACUAACUAACUAACUAACUAACGACGGUUACACACUCAUUCGAAAACUUUCCGAGUAGACAGUAUCGUCAGACAGAAUCGUCCAUCAAAUCUCUAAGUGGAUCGAUAUCUUCUAUCUAGUCAACUGAUUUAUCUUUUGAGUAUUUAUAUAGAAAGUAAAACCGCUAUUGGUGAAAAAUUAAAUCAACUAAAUCUGUUACUACCUGUGUGUCUGCUGUUGUUGUCACCUUAAAACCAAAUAAAUAAUAUCGACUGAAUGGCUAUCUACUGGCUCCUGCUGUUUGAAAGACUUUGAUUGUUCUUUUUUUUUCUUCUUUUUUUUUUUUUUUAUAACACGUACAAAAGAAAAGAAAUAAUAAGAUUGAAAAAAGGUGAUAUUUCAUUUUGAAACAAAAUUUCAAAAACGUAAAACCACCUUCUGUCACGUGAAGAAACAAAAACGUUUUCUCAUUGUUAAUCACAAUUCGUGGAAAGGAUAUAAAUCUGACGAGUGUCAGUGGGUGGUACCUAAGAGUACGGGGGAAAUUUUGAACACUCCCAUUUGGAAAGAGAGUUGUUAGUUUGUUUGUUUUUUUUUUUUCGUCAGCAUAAUGGAGCGAAGGAUUUUGAAAAUGUGGUGAUAACGUGAGGAGGCAGAGGCCUUUGACAAACAAGACACUAUCCAAUGUGUGAGCAAUAGUCGUUAGAAAAAAACGAAAAAAAAAAAAAAGCAAAAGAACUAUAUAA
Polistes dominula (European paper wasp) is the source of this 1661-nucleotide long non-coding RNA. NCBI's taxonomy places the organism in Eukaryota, Metazoa, Arthropoda, Insecta, Hymenoptera, Vespidae. The record is from RefSeq and is a predicted model, not a curated record.